RNAcentral lists this ribosomal RNA (354 nucleotides) under Clostridioides difficile. Its description in RNAcentral is "partial 23S ribosomal RNA". It matches the Rfam family "Bacterial large subunit ribosomal RNA", at positions 1 to 356 of the family's 2925-position model. Lineage: Bacteria; Bacillati; Bacillota; Clostridia; Peptostreptococcales; Peptostreptococcaceae. The record is from RNAcentral.
GGUCAAGUUAUUAAGGGUGCAGGGCGGAUGCCUUGGCACUAGGAGCCGAUGAAGGACGUGAUAAGCUGCGAUAAGCUUCGGGGAGUUGCACGUAAACUUUGAUCCGAAGAUUUCCGAAUGAGGAAACUCACUUAGAGUAAUGUCUAAGUAUCAUUAAGUGAAUACAUAGCUUAAUGAGGGGAACUCAGGGAACUGAAACAUCUAAGUACCUGAAGGAAGAGAAAGAAAUUCGAUUCCGUAAGUAGCGGCGAGCGAACGCGGAUUAGCCCAAACCAAUAAAGUUUUCUUUAUUGGGGUUGCGGACAUAUCAUAACGAAGAGGUAUCGUAAUUGAAGAGGUUUGGAAAGACCCACC